CUCCUGCUCUUUUCCCAGAAAGUCAACCAGGGCUCUGCUAUUAUAAGCAGAGUUUCUCUUGACUUUACAAAGUUUAUUGGCUGAAAAUGUAUAUUCAUGCACAAUUCAUUCUCAAUCUAGUCUAUCAUUAGCACAAUUUCAAAAUGCACUCUGAGUUGUUUUUCUUAGCAUCUCUAUGGUCCUUUACAUACAAGACACCAUGAGACCAUGAGACCGUGACACUUGAUCAACCCAGAAUGUGUCAAUUCGCAGAGCUUCAGCUAAAGGAGAUGCUGACUAAGAUGCCAAACCUUGAUGCUGGUACCACCAAUUCAAAACCCAGUCCCAGCCUCCCCUUCAGGAACCAGGACCUACACUGGACCUAAUUUCAUAGACUAGACUGGAUGAAGAUCAAGAUACAGGGAUCCAACUGUCUGUUUCCCAAGUAUUAGGAGUUCAAGUUAGCAGCAUUGAGGCCUGGAGUUUUGUCAUGGAUUCUGAAGAUUGAAUUCAGUUCCUAUCCUUUCAAGAACUUUACAGCCAUAAAAAAUUGAGAAAGUUCUACAAAAAGAUAAAACUUAAGAACCACUUGAUGACAAAGCAGAGGACAGUAAAAGGAGGUCUGCAAGACUAGAGGCUGGGGGAAGAAGGCUGCAACAAUAUGGGCAGGCCUGGAAGAUGAAAGAUGUGAGUGAUGCCAAGGGCUGGUCUGAAGGACGUGUGGUAAGGAGAGAACUAUUGGCAACAGGGAAAGCAGGAUCUGUCUACAUUCCUUCAGGCCUGCCUGCACCAAGGACAUUCAAAUCAGACCCUUCUGGCCCCAACCCUCUGCCUGCUGAUUAUCUCAGGGGCACAGCCAGCUUCUGCUCCUUGUCUCCCUUGGUCUUUUUUUUUUUUUUUUUUGGCCCACAGCU
This is a long non-coding RNA of Mus musculus (house mouse), 893 nucleotides long. RefSeq annotates it as predicted gene, 53496. The record is from RefSeq and is a predicted model, not a curated record. The transcript has 4 exons. Lineage: Eukaryota; Metazoa; Chordata; Mammalia; Rodentia; Muridae.